This 253-nucleotide ribosomal RNA is filed under the name uncultured bacterium. RNAcentral describes it as "partial 16S ribosomal RNA". It matches the Rfam family "Bacterial small subunit ribosomal RNA", at positions 524 to 776 of the family's 1533-position model. The record is from RNAcentral.
GACAGAGGGGGCAAGCGUUGUUCGGAAUUACUGGGCGUAAAGGGCGCGUAGGCGGCCUUCUAAGUCGAACGUGAAAUCCCCGGGCUCAACCCGGGAACUGCGUCCGAUACUGGAAGGCUUGAAUCCGGGAGAGGGAUGCGGAAUUCCAGGUGUAGCGGUGAAAUGCGUAGAUAUCUGGAGGAACACCGAUGGCGAAGGCAGGUCACUGGGCCGCAACUGACGCUGAGGAGCGAAAGCAUGGGGAGCGAACAGG